GUGGGGAAUAUUGGACAAUGGGCGCAAGCCUGAUCCAGCCAUGCCGCGUGUGUGAAGAAGGCCUUCGGGUUGUAAAACACUUUUGUCCGGGAAGAAAUCUUCCAGGUUAAUACCCUGGGAGGCUGACGGUACCGGAAGAAUAAGCACCGGCUAACUUCGUGCCAGCAGCCGCGGUAAUACGAAGGGUGCAAGCGUUAAUCGGAAUUACUGGGCGUAAAGCGUGCGUAGGUGGUUGUUCAAGUCUGUCGUGAAAGCCCUGGGCUCAACCUGGGAAUGGCGAUGGAAACUGGGAGACUAGAGUGCGGUAGAGGAUGGCGGAAUUCCCGGUGUAUCGGUGAAAUGCGUAGAGAUCCGGAGGAACACCAGUGGCGAAGGUGGCUUCCUGGACAGUAACUGACGCAGAGACGCGAAAGCGUGGGGAGCAAACAGGAUUAGAAACCCGAGUAAGUCC
RNAcentral lists this ribosomal RNA (451 nucleotides) under uncultured bacterium. RNAcentral describes it as "partial 16S ribosomal RNA". It matches the Rfam family "Bacterial small subunit ribosomal RNA", at positions 354 to 796 of the family's 1533-position model. The record is from RNAcentral.